UACCUGCAGCUCAAGUGGUGACCACUAUUAUUGGGCCUAAAACGUUCGUAGCCGGUUUGGUAAAUGCCUGGGUAAAUCGUGUAGCUUAACUAUACGAAUUCCGGGUAGACUGUCAAACUUGAGACCGGGAGAAGCUAGAGGUACUCCUGGGGUAGAGGUGAAAUUCUGUAAUCCUGGGGGGACCACCAGUGGCGAAGGCGUCUAGCUAGAACGGGUUUAACGGUGAGGAACGAAGCCCUGGGGCGCAAACCGGAUUAGAUACCCGGGUAGUCCAGGGUGUAAACGCUGCUUGCUUGAUGUUAGUUGGGCUCCGAGCCCAAUUAGUGUCGGAGAGAAGUUGUUAAGCAAGCUGCCUGGGAAGUACGAUCGCAAGAUUGAAACUUAAAGGAAUUGGCGGGGGAGCACAGCAACGGGUGGAGCGUGCGGUUU
Molecule: ribosomal RNA, 429 nt
Filed under: uncultured archaeon
Lineage: Archaea
Description: bacterial SSU rRNA
Rfam family: Archaeal small subunit ribosomal RNA
Source: RNAcentral